RNAcentral lists this ribosomal RNA (468 nucleotides) under uncultured bacterium. Its description in RNAcentral is "partial 16S ribosomal RNA". It matches the Rfam family "Bacterial small subunit ribosomal RNA", at positions 28 to 507 of the family's 1533-position model. The record is from RNAcentral.
GACGAACGCUGGCGGCGUGCUUAACACAUGCAAGUCGAACGGAAAGGCCCUGCUUUUGUGGGGUGCUCGAGUGGCGAACGGGUGAGUAACACGUGAGUAACCUGCCCUUGACCUUGGGAUAACUUCAGGAAACUGGGGCUAAUACCGGAUAGGAGCUCCUGCUGCAUGGUGGGGGUUGGAAAGUUUCGGCGGUUGGGGAUGGACUCGCGGCUUAUCAGCUUGUUGGUGGGGUAGUGGCUUACCAAGGCUUUGAUGGGUAGCCGGCCUGAGAGGGUGACCGGCCACAUUGGGACUGAGAUACGGCCCAGACUCCUACGGGAGGCAGCAGUGGGGAAUAUUGCACAAUGGGCGGAAGCCUGAUGCAGCAACGCCGCGUGUGGGAUGACGGCCUUCGGGUUGUAAACCGCUUUCGCCUGUGACGAAGCGUGAGUGACGGUAAUGGGUAAAGAAGCACCGGCUAACUACGUG